Amborella trichopoda is the source of this 5614-nucleotide non-coding RNA. Lineage: Eukaryota; Viridiplantae; Streptophyta; Magnoliopsida; Amborellales; Amborellaceae. The record is from RefSeq and is a predicted model, not a curated record.
CCAUGUGAAAAUAUUAUACCACCCAGGGGCCAUUUUCGUGUGAAAACAAAUAUGCACCUCGCAAGGUGGGAGCAGGUUCCCGCCUCAAAAUAAGGUUAAAUAGGGGUUUUAAAUGCGUUUAGAAAGGAAAUAACUCCCCUCUGAUUCGGGAAACACCCUAGCGGCUCCACCCUCGCUGCUCUCCUCUGUCGCACCCCUCCCUGCAACUCUUUCUCUCUCUGAAACCCCAAUCGCUCGUGUUCUUCUGCAAUUUCUUCGCACCACCAAGGAAGAGAAUUGAUGCAUUUGAUGGGUCCGACAAUAAGCAGUGCACAGGGGGCAGGGAAAGAGGAGUAUCUGCACCAGGACUCUGCAAUCGACUCGUCAGAUGUUUAUGAGAGCGAUCGAUUCAUGGCCGGAAUACUCGGGCGACAAGAGGUGGCAGAACCUUUCGAUCAAAUGGACUCUUUUUGUUGUUAUUACGAGCAGGCAUUUUAUGACAUUUUUCCUUCCAAACUCCCAUUGUGACAGAUCUUCUAUGAAUCCUCUGUUGCUGAGCUUAUUGAUGGAUUCCUGGAGUAGGCCGAGAUGAAUUAUUGUUCUUGUUUUCACCCCACAAGAACUCAAAUUCCAAACAUUGAGGAUGUUGGUUGAACACAAAAUUUGUGCCCAUUGGACACCUGUGAUCAACAAAAACCAGUUGUGGCACAUUAAGAACAUUGAGUUAUUGUUUAUGCUUCUUCAGUAGUUGUUCAUUUUGUGGAGCCUGUGGAAAGUGGCUAGGUGAGUUUGUUAAUUUCAUGGAGUAUAAUCUGUCAAAGAUAUAGUAGUUGUUAAGAAUUUGAGGAUUUUUAACUGUGCUCUUACCUAAGUGGAAGUUCAUUUUUCGACCCUUUGGAAUCUGUUUUUAUGCUUGUCAUUCCACAGAUUAUCAAAAAAAUUUGCAAUUCACCUGUUUUGAUAUCUAUGGGAAAAUGAAAGGAAUACUACACGAAGAAAAUAAAGGCCUAUGAGCCAAAGAUUUAUGGUUGUUUAGUGUAGUUAUUUUUUGAAAGGGAUAUAGGAAUAAGGAAUAACAAUAAAUUUUGAAUCUGAUACUCCACGACAUGCUGACGGUUGCUGUUUCUUAUUAGGUUAUUUGUAGAUGCAAUCACAUUAUACUAUGCUGUACCCCUUUAUAUACUCGCUGGAGCAGUGGCAGUAAUGCUCUUAUGGGACUCUCCAACGUUAGCUUGAUUGAUUAGGUUUUGACAAUUGCAAUCUUACAUCCAAGGUUCAAGUCCCACGCUGACCUACCCAAAAUGGAACUCUCUCUCUCUCUCUUCUUCUCUCCUCUCUCUCUUGCUUGCUCUCUCUUGCUCGCUCUCUCUCUCUCGCUCGCUGGCUUGCUUUCACUCUCUCUCUCUCUCUCUCUCGCUCUCUCUCUCUCUGAAAGUCUCACAAGCAUGGACUGUGGUUCCCUGGCUGCCUUAAGCUCAACUUUUUAUUUUUAUAUUUAUUUUUUUGUGUAUGAAUCAUUACUCUUUAAAAUAGAAGGGAAAAGAUGUAUACCCCCUCUCUAAAAUUAUUAUCCCACAUACUCCCUUGUCCUAUAAAAAGCCAAAAGAACCCUCCAAGUUUAACCAAAAAGGACAUUUGACCCCCCCUCCUUUCCAUUUUUAUUGUCCAAAUUACAAAAUUUAUCCUUCUUUUUUAUAGUAACCUAUCAUCAUAAAAAUCAAGUUUGUGAUGCUUUUUUGAUGUAUUUGUGACAUUCACUAGAUGUUAUUCAGAGAAAGUUGCAAGAGAGAGAGGGAGGAAGGGGGCCACAAAUGAGGAAGAAAAACCAAAUAAGGGCUUUUCCAGGAUUUUGAUAAUAGGUUGUAAUUUAGACAAUGGAAAAGGUUAGAAGGGUUCAAACGUCUUUUCCUGUUUAACUUGGGCUGUUCCAUGGGAUAUUUAUAGGACCAGGGGGUUAUUUGGGAUUAUAACUUUAGAGAGGGGGGUUUAUGUCUUUUUCCCAACAUAUAAAGGCAAAGAGCAAAUGUUAUUCAAAACACUAAACCUUUAUGCCUAUGGAGUUUAAGGACCCAAUUGUUUGGGAAUCCUACAAUGUAAAUUAAUGUUGUAUGAAUUGGAUGCCAAAUAUGUUACUACGAUGUUUGGCAUUGCAUGAUUACUUGUUUUGCGUAAUGUUCACGAAACCUCAAAUGAUCUUAAAAAUUCCAACCAAUAUGGCAUGGCUUGUGAAUACUGUAUUACAAUCAAAUGAGACACGGCUAUAUUAGAAAAUCAAGAAUUAUUCUCGAGGGAAUGAGGUGUUAUGAGUACGUAAGGUUCUCAUUCUUUCAUGGAAUGAUCUGGGAUGAUGUAGACAUCAUUGACCUUCCAAUUGCAGAUUAAAUUUUUAUUGGUUAUGGAAAUGAAUCUAUUGCACCUUGUUAAGUGAUGAGUUUGAGACAAGAGUUUUAGACAAUCAAUAAAAGUUCCGGAGCCUGUAAGCAUUGAUUCUUCACUGCAUUCUCCUUCCUUUCUAAGUGGUAGGAGUUAAUACUGAUUGUUGCACUAUGCCCCAAGGAGAGGAUUCAUAUCGUAUAAAAAAAAAAAAACAAGCAUAGAAAAGAAUAUAGGGCCUGUCUCUGCCUAUACAACAAGUGUUGAUUGGAGGCCUAUUGAUUACUGGAGGCUUUUUCUAUUGUAGCCAUGUUAGAUACUCCUUCAAAGUUAUUCAACAUUUAUAUAUCCUCAAGCUCGUUGUAAACGGUGCAUACUUCAUGGGGAAUCAAACCAUGUUCAAGCUUGGAGUCCAUGAGGGUGGUUGGUUGGUGGGACAUGACCCUUAGAUUUGCCAAAUACUCGCUUUCCAAAACAUGGAAAAAGUUAUAGUUGUCUUGGAUGGAGAGGAGAUUAACAAUUUUUUUUUUUUCAAAUGUUGCUUGAUCAACUACUAGGUUACAAACCAUAAUGGAGUUUGCUCUACAACAAAUCAGAUACACCUAUAUUGCAACUGAUCAGCCAAGUAUAUCCAAGCGAUAGCUCCUGCACGUUGGAGUCCUUCCCCCCCUUUUUCAACAAUCAUUGUUCCUUUGACACUGUAAACAUGGUCAUUAAUGAUGCAUGCCCAUCCUUAAAUUUGACAUGAUGGCUGCAAUCCACCAUCUCCUAUGCUCAACUGCUAGCUGUCCUGGCCCAAAAAACAAACCCUUAGCGCCCAACACAAAAAAGAAAAAAAAGAAAAAAAAGGGAAAAACACACCAAUACUCUAAUGUCUUGCACUCACGACUGUUAGGAUAUAGUGCUCAUCCACUCCUCGCCUCCAUCUCAUCAUUGUCGGACGCCUUGCUUGCCCCAGCCUCUAUGCCCACCCCCUCAAUAGUGGUGGUAAUUUAACCUUAGGUUUAAUCUAUUGCAAGCUCAAUGCAACCAUCCGAACCUUAUAACUCCUCAGCUUAUUCACCUACCCCCUAUCCCUAUCGUACUAGUUCCAACAUGCACACCACCAUGCAUUCCCCAUGAUCUAAAUGCCUUGCCGCGUAAUCCUCGUGCAUCAAAUGGCCCUCCCUUUCCGCCAAAUGAAUGCGUCCUUUGAGGAAAUACAAAUGCCUCAUGGGAAGUUGUGAAGAUGACACGAACUCCAUUGCCACCAAGAGCCAAGGUACUUUAGGUGUGCAGCUUGUAGGAUCAUAAUUAAGAGUGGCAUUCAAUAACUUGGCAUGUUGAAAUCCCAACCCUAAACCCUUGGGUCAGUGUAAUCAUAGCCCCACGACCACAUGGAUGGAUGAGAACUUUUCCAUUUACUAACCCAAGAUAACUCAUCUAAGCAACUUCCCUUAAAUUUGACUUUUGGGCCACCGUCUAAUCCUUCCACUUCCUCCCACUACCCUUUGAUCUUCUGUCCGAGCCAUAGGUGGCAUGGUCGACAUGAUCCUACCCUAACAGAACUAAGUAAAUCAAGGCGAAGAGCUCGAACAUUACCGUGCUCAUCAACUCAUUGAAAGCCAGGACAAAAGGAAAGCAAGAAAAAGAAAAUAGAAGGAAGUUUUAGCUUGACUUCACUCAUUCUUAGCUUAACGAUUGAACUUGUUGUCUUAAACAUUGGUGGGGCGCGAGAGAACACGUGAAAGAGAAAGAUACUUGCAUAGAGCAAGGAAGCGAUUGAAGGUUGGGCAUUUCUGAAGCUCAAAAGGUGUGCGCCGAAAGAGCGUUUAGUGAAAUUGCUCUCUUUUUGCAUUGCUCUUACUAAGCAAGCUACCUUGCAUUCUAAAUCUCAAAGCCUAGCUAAAUGAAAAAAGCAACUCAGUGCGAAAUGAGAGUGGAAAGAAGAGGCAAAGAUGAGGGUAGGUAAGGUUCGUUGACUCGUUGAGCUGCUGCUGUGAUUGAGAAUACAAGGCUGCUUAGGUUAUACUCGAUGGAGCUAAGGUACGGAGAAGAAAGUAGCAACUACUUCUUAUAUUCUUGCUUCUCAUUGAGCAACAUGCUUACUAUUUGCUUCUAAUUUCUCUUACACCUCUCGUUUGAUUUGCUAGCACAACUUUGAAAGUAGAAGACAACGAACAACUAAAAGGAGAAGCAAGGUAUGAAGCUAUAGCUACAGCUACAAUAUACCUUAGUGUUAUGUUCCUAAGGUUUUUCUCAAUGUAAUGGAGAAGUGGAUGGAUGGACUACCUAAUUUUGCAUUUGAUAAAUUUUUCAUUUGGGUAUCGAACUGUUUUAACCUUGAGAUGUUGGAAGAAGCCCCAAAGCCAAUGUCAAACGCUCAGGUUUUUGUGGGAGAUUUGUUUAUGGGGAUGCGCUUGUGGUGUUAACUCCUCUUGCCCCAGGUUUUGCACAAAUCGAGUGAUCUUCUCUUUGCAAGACGUGUCUAUCAAUUGUUUCACAGCCCAAUGGUAGAGACAACAUGAGAGUAGCGCUCCAAACCUCCAAAAGAUGGCUAUACGGAUCGUGAGUUUGAUAACUACCUCAUCUGGUUGUGAGCGCAAUCGGAGUUCGUUUGAGAUGGUGCAUACAAGAGAAGAAAUACGUUUGGGCAAAAGAAGCUCAAUGACUUGAAUCAAAGGCUCAAAAAGAAGAAAAAUCAGCCAAAGAAGGACCCUAUCUCUUUGAAAGACAUGGAGAAUGCUUCAGAUUGGCUAGUUAGUGACUUUGGUACUGAGGAGGUCUUCCUUGGGGAGGGUUUGACAUGGGAAAUAGUCGAGGACGCUUUGUGGUAAGCUUCUGAUCUUAGGAGAGCCACUCGAGCAACUUCUUCUGCUGGUACUUCACGGAGGGAGAUAGAGGAAGAUGAGGCAGAUUCAGAAGAAUCUCUGGAAGAAGAGGAAUAUGUUGAAGAGGGUGAUGAGUCUGAUGAUAACGGCCUCAAUUCUGAUGCAGAUGAAAGCGAUGAAAAUGAUGACUCUGAUUUUUAUUGAUGUCUUGAUUGUCUUCUCUUUUAUUUUGAAGUAACUUUAAUACGUUAUUGCACCAUCUUGGUUUGGGCUUUAGACAUUUGGACAAUUUUUAUUUAGUUAUAUAGUUUGUAAUUUUUUUGCUUUUUUGGCCUAUUUCGUUGUGGUUUAUUGGUUUUUUUAUAGUUUUGGAAGUCAGUUUGUUGAUGACUUGGAGAGUUGUAGACUUGGAUGUUAUUAUGGUUUAUUUUAUAGAUAUAGAAUAUGGAGAA